Molecule: ribosomal RNA, 689 nt
Filed under: Salmonella enterica
Lineage: Bacteria; Pseudomonadati; Pseudomonadota; Gammaproteobacteria; Enterobacterales; Enterobacteriaceae
Also listed under: 3 other names
Description: partial 23S ribosomal RNA
Rfam family: Bacterial large subunit ribosomal RNA
Source: RNAcentral
CGUGAGGGAAAGGCGAAAAGAACCCCGGCGAGGGGAGUGAAAAAGAACCUGAAACCGUGUACGUACAAGCAGUGGGAGCACAGGUUUACCUGUGUGACUGCGUACCUUUUGUAUAAUGGGUCAGCGACUUAUAUUCUGUAGCAAGGUUAACCGAAUAGGGGAGCCGGAGGGAAACCGAGUCUUAAUUGGGCGUUAAGUUGCAGGGUAUAGACCCGAAACCCGGUGAUCUAGCCAUGGGCAGGUUGAAGGUUGGGUAACACUAACUGGAGGACCGAACCGACUAAUGUUGAAAAAUUAGCGGAUGACCUGUGGCUGGGGGUGAAAGGCCAAUCAAACCGGGAGAUAGCUGGUUCUCCCCGAAAGCUAUUUAGGUAGCGCCUCGUGAAUUCAUCUCCGGGGGUAGAGCACUGUUUCGGCUAGGGGGCCAUCCCGGCUUACCAACCCGAUGCAAACUGCGAAUACCGGAGAAUGUUAUCACGGGAGACACACGGCGGGUGCUAACGUCCGUCGUGAAGAGGGAAACAACCCAGACCGCCAGCUAAGGUCCCAAAGUCAUGGUUAAGUGGGAAACGAUGUGGGAAGGCCCAGACAGCCAGGAUGUUGGCUUAGAAGCAGCCAUCAUUUAAAGAAAGCGUAAUAGCUCACUGGUCGAGUCGGCCUGCGCGGAAGAUGUAACGGGGCUAAACCAU